AGGGAAAAUGUACUGCUCUAAAAGCACUGGGCUGCAAGACUUCAGAGCAGAACCCACAUGAUCCUAUCCCAGCUCCACAUCUCCUUCCUUUCCCGUGCAAAUGUCCCUGAGGCUAUCCAGCCCUGCAUGACAACACUCCCUCUACACCUCACCCCACCCCGAGCCAGCAUUUUGGGAGCCAGCACUGCAGGAUUUGCAGCUCCAUACCAGCUAUUUAAUUUUCCAGGGAGUACCACCUCAUCCUUCUUGGAGGCUGCUGCCUGCCAGCCAGCUGCCAUUUUGUGGAGCGCGGUUGAUAGAGCGCGCUGUGGAAGAAUCAAGCCCUGCACGCUCUCAGAGAAGGUGCUAUUUUUGGUUCUUCUUGUCCUUUUUUUUCCUCACCUACGCUGAGGAACUACAGCUAUUCAAACCGACUGCCUCUGCCUGCUUGAGAACGCUGACUGAAAAUAGAACUCUGCAUUCAGUGCUGCCAUCUCUUUUUCACCUUUGAGGAUGAAAUUCAGAUGCAAAGGAAAAUUCAGAUCUAAACUUUGUGUCUCCUGCUUAUCUCUCACUGCAUUCCACCACACAUUGCAAGAGGAGGUAGCUGGCAACACCUUAGUUCCAGGGACACUCCAUAAGUUCAGAGGAAUGGCUUAGCCAGGAGGAGCACUCUGCUGUGGGCUGCUGCAUACACUGGGCAGCCUGAACACUAUCAGAGGUCUCAGCUCUUGCCUUGUGAAUGUAUGUGCAGCACCUACCUUUACAUUCCCAUGUGUAUCCACAGAGUACAGCCAAGCUGUAGUAAAGCACAUUUGGGAGAGAGAAGCAGAAGCUGUGUGUAUGGAACUAUUCCCUUUCCCAGAGGAUCUCUGUAACCGGCUGGAAGAUGAAAAUAC
Zonotrichia albicollis (white-throated sparrow) is the source of this 878-nucleotide non-coding RNA. The record is from RefSeq and is a predicted model, not a curated record. Lineage: Eukaryota; Metazoa; Chordata; Aves; Passeriformes; Passerellidae.